This 291-nucleotide unclassified non-coding RNA is filed under the name uncultured fungus. Its description in RNAcentral is "partial contains small subunit ribosomal RNA, internal transcribed spacer 1, and 5.8S ribosomal RNA". The stretch from base 1 to 73 matches the Rfam family "Eukaryotic small subunit ribosomal RNA", at positions 1759 to 1831 of the family's 1831-position model. The record is from RNAcentral. Lineage: Eukaryota; Fungi.
UCAAACUUGGUCAUUUAGAGGAAGUAAAAGUCGUAACAAGGUUUCCGUAGGUGAACCUGCGGAAGGAUCAUUAGUGAAUUCAUGAAAACCUGCCGAAGUAGGCCCUCCAUGGCCCAAAAGGCGGGAUCCCUUUUCAUCACUUGUCCUCACACCUGUGAACUGAAAGUAGGCUCGCAAGAGCCUGCCUUUUUUCCUACCAAACUACCGAGUCAAUGAUGUCUAUUUAUUAUCAUAAUUAAUAAAACUUUCAACAACGGAUCUCUUGGCUCCCACAUCGAUGAAGAACGCAGC